RNAcentral lists this ribosomal RNA (1224 nucleotides) under beta proteobacterium 4-80. RNAcentral describes it as "bacterial SSU rRNA". It matches the Rfam family "Bacterial small subunit ribosomal RNA", at positions 256 to 1478 of the family's 1533-position model. Lineage: Bacteria; Pseudomonadati; Pseudomonadota; Betaproteobacteria. The record is from RNAcentral.
GGUAAAGGCCUACCAAGGCAUCGAUCAGUAGCUGGUCUGAGAGGACGACCAGCCACACUGGAACUGAGACACGGUCCAGACUCCUACGGGAGGCAGCAGUGGGGAAUUUUGGACAAUGGGCGAAAGCCUGAUCCAGCAAUGCCGCGUGAGUGAAGAAGGCCUUCGGGUUGUAAAGCUCUUUUGUCAGGGAAGAAACGGUGCGGGCUAAUAUCCUGCACUAAUGACGGUACCUGAAGAAUAAGCACCGGCUAACUACGUGCCAGCAGCCGCGGUAAUACGUAGGGUGCAAGCGUUAAUCGGAAUUACUGGGCGUAAAGCGUGCGCAGGCGGUUUUGUAAGUUUGUCGUGAAAGCCCCGGGCUCAACCUGGGAAUUGCGAUGAAGACUGCAAGGCUUGAAUCUGGCAGAGGGGGGUAGAAUUCCACGUGUAGCAGUGAAAUGCGUAGAGAUGUGGAGGAACACCGAUGGCGAAGGCAGCCCCCUGGGUCAAGAUUGACGCUCAUGCACGAAAGCGUGGGGAGCAAACAGGAUUAGAUACCCUGGUAGUCCACGCCCUAAACGAUGUCUACUAGUUGUCGGGUUUUAAUUAACUUGGUAACGCAGCUAACGCGUGAAGUAGACCGCCUGGGGAGUACGGUCGCAAGAUUAAAACUCAAAGGAAUUGACGGGGACCCGCACAAGCGGUGGAUGAUGUGGAUUAAUUCGAUGCAACGCGAAAAACCUUACCUACCCUUGACAUGGACGGAAGCCACGAGAGAUCGAGGUGUGCUCGAAAGAGAACCGUCACACAGGUGCUGCAUGGCUGUCGUCAGCUCGUGUCGUGAGAUGUUGGGUUAAGUCCCGCAACGAGCGCAACCCUUGUCAUUAGUUGCUACGAAAGAGCACUCUAAUGAGACUGCCGGUGACAAACCGGAGGAAGGUGGGGAUGACGUCAAGUCCUCAUGGCCCUUAUGGGUAGGGCUUCACACGUCAUACAAUGGUACAUACAGAGGGCCGCCAACCCGCGAGGGGGAGCUAAUCCCAGAAAGUGUAUCGUAGUCCGGAUUGUAGUCUGCAACUCGACUACAUGAAGUUGGAAUCGCUAGUAAUCGCGGAUCAGCAUGUCGCGGUGAAUACGUUCCCGGGUCUUGUACACACCGCCCGUCACACCAUGGGAGCGGGUUUUACCAGAAGUAGGUAGCUUAACCGCAAGGAGGGCGCUUACCACGGUAGGAUUCGUGACUGG